RNAcentral lists this ribosomal RNA (460 nucleotides) under uncultured soil bacterium. Its description in RNAcentral is "bacterial SSU rRNA". It matches the Rfam family "Bacterial small subunit ribosomal RNA", at positions 26 to 532 of the family's 1533-position model. The record is from RNAcentral.
AGAACGAACGCUGGCGGCAUGCCUAAUACAUGCAAGUCGAACGAACUCUUCGGAGUUAGUGGCGCACGGGUGCGUAACGCGUGGGAAUCUGCCCUUGGGUUCGGAAUAACAGUUGGAAACGACUGCUAAUACCGGAUGAUGACGUAAGUCCAAAGAUUUAUCGCCCAGGGAUGAGCCCGCGUAGGAUUAGCUAGUUGGUGAGGUAAAGGCUCACCAAGGCGACGAUCCUUAGCUGGUCUGAGAGGAUGAUCAGCCACACUGGGACUGAGACACGGCCCAGACUCCUACGGGAGGCAGCAGUGGGAAUAUUGGACAACGGGCGCAAGCCUGAUCCAGCAAUGCCGCGUGAGUGAUGAAGCCGUUAGGUUGUAAAGCUCGUUUUACCCGGGAUGAUAAUGAACAGUAACCGGAGAAAGUAAGCCGUCCGGACUAAACCGUCCGUACGCCGAGCAAGCCCGAC